GAUGAACGCUGGCGGCGUGCCUAAUACAUGCAAGUCGAGCGAACGGACGAGAAGCUUGCUUUUCUGAUGUUAGCGGCGGACGGGUGAGUAACACGUGGAUAACCUACCUAUAAGACUGGGAUAACUUCGGGAAACCGGAGCUAAUACCGGAUAAUAUUUUGAACCGCAUGGUUCAAAAGUGAAAGACGGUCUUGCUGUCACUUAUGGAUGGAUCCGCGCUGCAUUAGCUAGUUGGUAAGGUAACGGCUUACCAAGGCAACGAUGCAUAGCCGACCUGAGAGGGUGAUCGGCCACACUGGAACUGAGACACGGUCCAGACUCCUACGGGAGGCAGCAGUAGGGAAUCUUCCGCAAUGGGCGAAAGCCUGACGGAGCAACGCCGCGUGAGUGAUGAAGGUCUUCGGAUCGUAAAACUCUGUUAUUAGGGAAGAACAUAUGUGUAAGUAACUGUGCACAUCUUGACGGUACCUAAUCAGAAAGCCACGGCUAACUACGUGCCAGCAGCCGCGGUAAUACGUAGGUGGCAAGCGUUAUCCGGAAUUAUUGGGCGUAAAGCGCGCGUAGGCGGUUUUUUAAGUCUGAUGUGAAAGCCCACGGCUCAACCGUGGAGGGUCAUUGGAAACUGGAAAACUUGAGUGCAGAAGAGGAAAGUGAAAUUCCAUGUGUAGCGGUGAAAUGCGCAGAGAUGUGGAGGAACACCAGUGGCGAAGGCGACUUUCUGGUCUGUAACUGACGCUGAUGUGCGAAAGCGUGGGGAUCAAACAGGAUUAGAUACCCUGGUAGUCCACGCCGUAAACGAUGAGUGCUAAGUGUUAGGGGGUUUCCGCCCCUUAGUGCUGCAGCUAACGCAUUAAGCACUCCGCCUGGGGAGUACGACCGCAAGGUUGAAACUCAAAGGAAUUGACGGGGGCCCGCACAAGCGGUGGAGCAUGUGGUUUAAUUCGAAGCAACGCGAAGAACCUUACCAAAUCUUGACAUCCUUUGACAACUCUAGAGAUAGAGCCUUCCCCUUCGGGGGACAAAGUGACAGGUGGUGCAUGGUUGUCGUCAGCUCGUGUCGUGAGAUGCUGGGUUAAGUCCCGCAACGAGCGCAACCCUUAAGCUUAGUUGCCAUCAUUAAGUUGGGCACUCUAAGUUGACUGCCGGUGACAAACCGGAGGAAGGUGGGGAUGACGUCAAAUCAUCAUGCCCCUUAUGAUUUGGGCUACACACGUGCUACAAUGGACAAUACAAAGGGCAGCGAAACCGCGAGGUCAAGCAAAUCCCAUAAAGUUGUUCUCAGUUCGGAUUGUAGUCUGCAACUCGACUACAUGAAGCUGGAAUCGCUAGUAAUCGUAGAUCAGCAUGCUACGGUGAAUACGUUCCCGGGUCU
Molecule: ribosomal RNA, 1372 nt
Filed under: uncultured bacterium
Lineage: Bacteria
Description: bacterial SSU rRNA
Rfam family: Bacterial small subunit ribosomal RNA
Source: RNAcentral